RNAcentral lists this ribosomal RNA (496 nucleotides) under uncultured bacterium. RNAcentral's name for it is "partial 16S ribosomal RNA". It matches the Rfam family "Bacterial small subunit ribosomal RNA", at positions 29 to 507 of the family's 1533-position model. The record is from RNAcentral.
AUGAACGCUGGCGGCGUGCCUAAUACAUGCAAGUCGCGCGAACAGACGAGGAGCUUGCUCCUCUGACGUUAGCGGCGGACGGGUGAGUAACACGUGGAUAACCUACCUAUAAGACUGGGAUAACUUCGGGAAACCGGAGCUAAUACCGGAUAAUAUAUUGAACCGCAUGGUUCAAUAGUGAAAGACGGUUUUGCUGUCACUUAUAGAUGGAUCCGCGCCGCAUUAGCUAGUUGGUAAGGUAACGGCUUACCAAGGCAACGAUGCGUAGCCGACCUGAGAGGGUGAUCGGCCACACUGGAACUGAGACACGGUCCAGACUCCUACGGGAGGCAGAAGUAGGGAAUCUUCCGCAAUGGGCGAAAGCUUGACGGAGCAACGCCGCGUGAGUGAUGAAGGUCUUCGGAUCGUAAAACUCUGUUAUUGGGGAAGAACAAAUGUGUAAGUAACUAUGCACGUCUUGACGGUACCUAAUAAGAAAGCCACGGCUAACUACGUG